AUGAAUAUUCACAUGAAAGCAUCACUUUUCUGAUGGAGCUUUUAGGGCUGCAACUAAAAAUGAUUUAGUUAUCGAUUAAUCAGAUUAAAAAAAGGCACAUUCUGCAGACUUUUGCAGUUAUAAAUAACAUUUUCACCUAAAAUGUAAUAACAGCUUUUCUUUAAUGAACACUUGAUCAUUUUUAGCAAAGGACAUAUCUGCAGUGAAAAAGUACUUCUGGCAUCAACAUGUGAAAAGCUCAAACCUUUCUGCUUCAGUAUAAGACUUACCUCGCCAUCAAUUUAUAAUUGAAUACAAAAGGUGAUUAAAAAGUCUUUUUUUUUUUAACAGAAUUUGUAUCAUGAAAUGCAAAUUUUAUUCCUCAAUGCAAAAUGUAUAUAUUUUGGGAUACUUGUGACUUAAUUACUGAUUUAAGAUGUUCUUUCAGCAUUUGACUUUUUUGAGUCUUCUCCAGUUAAUGAUAAAUUAGUUACUAAAUUGGAUGACGAUUACUUCAAUAAUUGAUUCAACACAAUUAAUCCUUCUAGCCCUAAUAACUUUUCAUCUCAUAAAUGCCAUUGUUUUAUAUCAUAGAAAUUAUGAAUGCCUAAUAGUUUUAUUUAUAUUUGGUGUUAAAAGUAGUAAGUGAAUAACUCACUCAAAUAAUAUCUUCUGUAUACAUUUAUGUAAGAAACUCAUUUGUGUCCUUUGAGGUAAAAAUAGUGUUUGUUUGCUUGGGAUUUAAAAAAAAUAAAAUUAAAACUCAGCACCUCCCCCUCUGCUUCCUAUGAUCCACCUUCUGACCCUGAUACCCCCUCCUCAUUUUUUUUUUAUUUUUUUUUGCUCACACACAACCAGAGGCUCCGCCUCACAAGCCUCCCCUCUUAUUUGCUGUCAUGGUUUUGUUGGUUUUCCCCCCCGGUGUGGCAUGCUGGGUGGGACUGUCCCCGCUCGGCUUUCUGAUUCAACAAAGGUUAGAUGUUUUUAAGUCGUGACCAAGCUCAGGUGGCCAGAACUUUGAACUGUGACUGAUUCCCAGACCUGAGGAGUGACUCCUGUAAAAGGAUGAAGUGCAGAUGUUAAGUUGAAGUACAGUAGGUUUUGUGGGCUUGCAGCACCCUGCCUGGGCAUGUAACGCGAUCAAGAUGGACUGUUAUUGCAAACGGAGGCUUUAAAGGCGAGCUGCACGUGAGAGUGAGUGUAUGCAGUGGACUUGGAUGACUUGUCUGCACAGCAUGGGUCAGGCUGUCUGAGUAACGCAGGAUGGAAUGCACCACAGAACACACACACUUAUGCUUUUGUGGCCACACAGUAAAAAUAGGAGAGUAAUUUUUUCGGAGUUAACAUUAUUUUCAUCAAAAAGAGUCAAAUUUAUACAUUAGAGAGUGAAAUCAUUUCAGUUGGUCAAUAGAAUCGGAGUAAAAAAUAGAGGAAAUUAUAUCGGAGUAAAACAAGACCACGCCCACUGAAGUUCCUUAAGUUUCGUUUCUUCCGCCAUCUUGUCAUCCCGCAGUGGAAACGGAGGCGACGGUUAGCUAUGUGCCAGGAGCAUUAUUACAAUGCAGAAGAUGGAAGUGGGUAUUUGGCUUGGAGACUGAAGUUUGUACAGAGGGAAGCUUCUAAUGGACAAAAAAAUGUCCCCAGACUGUCACAAACCCAAACAGGGGGACCAACAACUGAUAAGAGAGACUGUUUGAGAGAAGAAGACUAUCUUCUGACAGAUCGCUUGUGUUCAUAACAGUCUCUUCAUCAGCUGUGUGCUUCAUCAGUGCAAUCACUGAUGAAGCACACAGCUGAUGAAGAGACUGUUAUGAGGAACAUGAAACAGACUUUCAACUCUCGUCAGAAGAUGAUUCAUGACCCAGCAAAGUCAUCUAGUAUCUUUUUGGACUUCCCAAGAUUCCUGGACAUAGGAGGAUUGGUUGAGCAAGAUUUUAUGUUGAUGUUUGGGGAAGCCAUCUCUGCAAAGU
Molecule: long non-coding RNA, 1949 nt
Organism: Poeciliopsis prolifica (blackstripe livebearer)
Lineage: Eukaryota; Metazoa; Chordata; Actinopteri; Cyprinodontiformes; Poeciliidae
Exons: 4
Source: RefSeq, a predicted model, not a curated record